Myotis davidii is the source of this 74-nucleotide non-coding RNA. The record is from Rfam. NCBI's taxonomy places the organism in Eukaryota, Metazoa, Chordata, Mammalia, Chiroptera, Vespertilionidae.
GGCAGUUCUUGGGUGAUGUGCCCCAGAAUUGGGCUCCCUCCUCUCUAGUUCUGGCUGCAUCACCGAGAACUGCA